CGCGCCACGGUCGGGUGCGGCGACGGUCGGCGCAGAGCUCAGCCCUCAACCACUCCCCCAGCUUGAUCUGCGAGGCGGCUCCCCACGUCUGACGCGUGGCAGCCGAAGCGGGUGUUACUCUGAUGGAGUCACAGAGUGGCACGGGGCACCCGGGGCAGAGAAUGAGGUCACAGAAGGAUGCCUCGAGUUUGGGAGGCCCCGGGGGCAGGCGGGAGUCAGACCAGGCCACCCGGCAGAGGAGGGACUCCCGGACGCGCCAGGGCCCAGGGCUUCGUUGGAACUUUGGAGGCGGCGGAGGGGAGAGCAGGUGGCAGGUGUGUGAUGUCCUCCUUCCCAUGAUAAUGAUGUCACCGAGCUGGCAGAGGCGGGUCAACACGAGGGAGGCAAAGACGCUGACAACCUACAGGCAAACUGGGGAAAUGUUUGCAGCCGAGUGAAAGUGACCAGCCUCCCAGAGGCUGGGAAGUUGCCUGCCUGCCCUUUUUGUGUUUAUCUUGUUAAGUACUGACAGACUUAAAAUAUAGACCCCUAGAGGGCAAGAUUCAUAUCUAUACGGAGUGUGCUGCAGAACAUACACUCAUGCCUCAUACUCUUCUGCACAAAUUAUUUUUGACGGUGAGUGUUCUGUUUAAUUACUUCUCGGUUUCUUCCUUAAUUUUUC
RNAcentral lists this long non-coding RNA (661 nucleotides) under Lynx canadensis (Canada lynx). RNAcentral's name for it is "lncRNA (ENSLCNG00005006779.1)". Lineage: Eukaryota; Metazoa; Chordata; Mammalia; Carnivora; Felidae. The record is from RNAcentral.